RNAcentral lists this ribosomal RNA (465 nucleotides) under uncultured Klebsiella sp. Its description in RNAcentral is "bacterial SSU rRNA". It matches the Rfam family "Bacterial small subunit ribosomal RNA", at positions 338 to 795 of the family's 1533-position model. Lineage: Bacteria; Pseudomonadati; Pseudomonadota; Gammaproteobacteria; Enterobacterales; Enterobacteriaceae. The record is from RNAcentral.
CCUACGGGUGGCUGCAGUGGGGAAUAUUGCACAAUGGGCGCAAGCCUGAUGCAGCCAUGCCGCGUGUGUGAAGAAGGCCUUCGGGUUGUAAAGCACUUUCAGCGGGGAGGAAGGCGGUGAGGUUAAUAACCUCAUCGAUUGACGUUACCCGCAGAAGAAGCCCCGGCUAACUCCGUGCCAGCAGCCGCGGUAAUACGGAGGGUGCAAGCGUUAAUCGGAAUUACUGGGCGUAAAGCGCACGCAGGCGGUCUGUCAAGUCGGAUGUGAAAUCCCCGGGCUCAACCUGGGAACUGCAUUCGAAACUGGCAGGCUAGAGUCUUGUAGAGGGGGGUAGAAUUCCAGGUGUAGCGGUGAAAUGCGUAGAGAUCUGGAGGAAUACCGGUGGCGAAGGCGGCCCCCUGGGCAAAGACUGACGCUCAGGUGCGAAAGCGUGGGGAGCAAACAGGAUUAGAUACCCUUGUAGUC